GAUGAACGCUGGCGGCGUGCCUAAUACAUGCAAGUCGAGCGAACAGAUGAGGAGCUUGCUCCUCUGACGUUAGCGGCGGACGGGUGAGUAACACGUGGAUAACCUACCUAUAAGACUGGGAUAACUUCGGGAAACCGGAGCUAAUACCGGAUAAUAUAUUGAACCGCAUGGUUCAAUAGUGAAAGACGGUUUUGCUGUCACUUAUAGAUGGAUCCGCGCCGCAUUAGCUAGUUGGUAAGGUAACGGCUUACCAAGGCAACGAUGCGUAGCCGACCUGAGAGGGUGAUCGGCCACACUGGAACUGAGACACGGUCCAGACUCCUACGGGAGGCAGCAGUAGGGAAUCUUCUGCAAUGGGCGAAAGCCUGACGGAGCAACGCCGCGUGAGUGAUGAAGGUCUUCGGAUCGUAAAACUCCGUUAUUAGGGAAGAACAAAUGUGUAAGUAACUAUGCACGUCUUGACGGUACCUAAUCAGAAAGCCACGGCUAACUACGUG
This 497-nucleotide ribosomal RNA is filed under the name uncultured bacterium. RNAcentral's name for it is "partial 16S ribosomal RNA". It matches the Rfam family "Bacterial small subunit ribosomal RNA", at positions 28 to 507 of the family's 1533-position model. The record is from RNAcentral.